UACGAAGGGGGCUAGCGUUGCUCGGAAUCACUGGGCGUAAAGGGCGCGUAGGCGGACUCUUAAGUCGGAGGUGAAAGCCCAGGGCUCAACCCUGGAACUGCCUUCGAUACUGAGAGUCUUGAGACCGGAAGAGGUAAGUGGAACUGCGAGUGUAGAGGUGAAAUUCGUAGAUAUUCGCAAGAACACCAGUGGCGAAGGCGGCUUACUGGUCCGGUUCUGACGCUGAGGCGCGAAAGCGUGGGGAGCAAACAGG
This 253-nucleotide ribosomal RNA is filed under the name uncultured bacterium. Its description in RNAcentral is "partial 16S ribosomal RNA". It matches the Rfam family "Bacterial small subunit ribosomal RNA", at positions 524 to 776 of the family's 1533-position model. The record is from RNAcentral.